AAGUCGAACGAGAACCAGCUUUGUAGCAAUACCGAGUUGGGGAAAGUGGCGAAAGGGGCAGUAAUGCGUGGGUAACCAACCCUGGGGACGGGGAUAGCCAUCCUAACGGAUGGGUAAUACCCGGCGACGUAGCGAGUUCGCAUGUUCUUGCUACCAAAUGAGUUUCGCCCUGGGACGGGCUCACGUGAUAUUAGCUUGUUGGCGGGGUAACGGCCCACCAAGGCAAAGAUGUCUAGCAGGUGUGAGAGCACGACCUGCGCCACUGGCACUGAGACACUGGCCAGACUCCUACGGGAGGCUGCAGUCGAGGAUCUUCGGCAAUGGGCGCAAGCCUGACCGAGCGACGCCGCGUGUGCGAUGAAGGCCUUCGGGUUGUAAAGCACUGUCGAGGGGGAGGAAAGCCGAAAGGUCUGACCUAUCCCUGGAGGAAGCACGGGCUAAGUUCGUGCCAGCAGCCGCGGUAAGACGAACCGUGCGAACGUUGUUCGGAAUCACUGGGCUUAAAGGGCGCGUAGGCGGGUGUCCAAGUCAGGGGUGAAAUACUCCAGCUUAACUGGAGAACUGCCUGUGAUACUGGACGUCUGGAGUGAGGUAGGGGCGUGUGGAACUUCCGGUGGAGCGGUGAAAUGCGUAGAUAUCGGAAGGAACACCGGUGGCGAAGGCGGCAUGCUGGACCUCAACUGACGCUGAGGCGCGAAAGCCAGGGGAGCAAACGGGAUUAGAUACCCCGGUAGUCCUGGCCCUAAACGAUGGGUACUAGACUGUAGACUGAACAUGGGUUUACAGUCGAAGCAAAAGUGCUAAGUACCCCGCCUGGGGAGUAUGGUCGCAAGGCUGAAACUCAAAGGAAUUGACGGGGGCUCACACAAGCGGUGGAGCAUGUGGCUUAAUUCGAGGCUACGCGAAGAACCUU
RNAcentral lists this ribosomal RNA (913 nucleotides) under uncultured Planctomycetia bacterium. RNAcentral describes it as "bacterial SSU rRNA". It matches the Rfam family "Bacterial small subunit ribosomal RNA", at positions 59 to 972 of the family's 1533-position model. Lineage: Bacteria; Pseudomonadati; Planctomycetota; Planctomycetia. The record is from RNAcentral.